RNAcentral lists this ribosomal RNA (253 nucleotides) under uncultured bacterium. RNAcentral's name for it is "partial 16S ribosomal RNA". It matches the Rfam family "Bacterial small subunit ribosomal RNA", at positions 524 to 776 of the family's 1533-position model. The record is from RNAcentral.
UACGUAGGGGGCAAGCGUUAUCCGGAUUUACUGGGUGUAAAGGGAGCGUAGACGGCAGGGCAAGUCUGGAGUGAAAGGCAGGGGCCCAACCCCUGGACUGCUCUGGAAACUGUCCGGCUGGAGUGCAGGAGAGGUAAGUGGAAUUCCUAGUGUAGCGGUGAAAUGCGUAGAUAUUAGGAGGAACACCAGUGGCGAAGGCGGCUUACUGGACUGUAACUGACGUUGAGACUCGAAAGCGUGUGGAGCAAACAGG